CGACAGCUUUGCUCUCUGGAGCAGAGACGCCAGGCUCCACUCUCCGAGGCAGCUCAGACCAGGAUGGAUGUAGGCUAGAAUCUUCCCGGACUAUCCUGCUCCGUUACUCCCCAGACCACCUCCACCUCACCUCCAGCACCAUGAUGGACAGAAUCCCGUGAGGCCACGGGCUGGCAGCCAUCUUCCCUCUGUUUAUGCCAGCCAUUCUAUCCCAGCCGCGAGGACAGCACGGCCUCUGAAAAGGAAGCCUCAGCUGAAGAUGGCUUUGCUGGCUCCCGUGUAAUCCUCCCAUCUGGCUGUGAUGUGAGGAGGGAUGCAGAGUGGGCUGCGGUAGGCAUGGAAACGAGGCUGCCUGCUGCAUCUUGCAGGAGAGAAAGCCUUACCUCCGACACCAACACAUGUGCACAUGCACACACAGACACAUGGGCAGCUACAGCUACGGUGCGUGCCUGCCUGCCUGCCGCCUGCCAUGUUUCCCACCGUGAUGAUCGUGGACUAACCUUCUGAAACCAUAGCCCUCAAUUAAAUUCUUCAUUUUAUGAAUCGCCUUGAUCGAGAUAUCUCUUCAGAGCAACAGAACAGUGACCAAGUCAUCAUGAUAAAAGUUCUAAACACUAGGCCAGCCCAUUACCUGACCAACAGGAUGACUAUUGGGCCCAGUGAGUAGGAAGCUGUAUGUGAUCUACGUUCUUAGGAAUGUUUGCUAAGGGAAGGUGGGCCGGUGAGAUGGCCGACGAUCCUACACAGUGGAAGGAGAGGAUCAACUCUGACAAGACGCCCUCUGGCCUCCGCAGGCACACACACUCAUGCAAAGAAAAGAAAAAUGUA
Alexandromys fortis (reed vole) is the source of this 828-nucleotide long non-coding RNA. RefSeq lists it as uncharacterized. The transcript has 3 exons. The record is from RefSeq and is a predicted model, not a curated record. Lineage: Eukaryota; Metazoa; Chordata; Mammalia; Rodentia; Cricetidae.